AUUGAACGCUGGCGGAAUGCUUUACACAUGCAAGUCGAGCGGCAGCGCGGCCUUCGGGCUGGCGGCGAGCGGCGAACGGGUGAGUAAUGCAUCGGAACAUGCCCAGUCGUGGGGGAUAACACUUCGAAAGAAGUGCUAAUACCGCAUACGUUCUGAGGGGGAAAGCGGGGGAUCGCAAGACCUCGCGCGAUUGGAGUGGCCGAUGUCAGAUUAGCUAGUUGGUGGGGUAAAGGCCUACCAAGGCGACGAUCUGUAGCUGGUCUGAGAGGAUGAUCAGCCACACUGGGACUGAGACACGGCCCAGACUCCUACGGGAGGCAGCAGUGGGGAAUUUUGGACAAUGGGGGCAACCCUGAUCCAGCCAUUCCGCGUGAGUGAAGAAGGCCUUCGGGUUGUAAAGCUCUUUCGGCAGGAACGAAACGGUGGGCUCUAACAUAGUCCGCUAAUGACGGUACCUGAAGAAGAAGCACCGGCUAACUACGUG
Molecule: ribosomal RNA, 484 nt
Filed under: uncultured bacterium
Lineage: Bacteria
Description: partial 16S ribosomal RNA
Rfam family: Bacterial small subunit ribosomal RNA
Source: RNAcentral